This 585-nucleotide ribosomal RNA is filed under the name uncultured bacterium. Its description in RNAcentral is "bacterial SSU rRNA". It matches the Rfam family "Bacterial small subunit ribosomal RNA", at positions 796 to 1381 of the family's 1533-position model. The record is from RNAcentral.
CACGCNGUAAACGAUGGGUGCUAGGUGUUAGGCCCUUUCCGGGGCUUAGUGCCGGAGCUAACGCAAUAAGCACUCCGCCUGGGGAGUACGACCGCAAGGUUGAAACUCAAAGGAAUUGACGGGGGCCCGCACAAGCGGUGGAGCAUGUGGUUUAAUUCGAAGCAACGCGAAGAACCUUACCAGGUCUUGACAUCCCGAUGCUAUUCUUAGAGAUAGGAAGUUACUUCGGUACAUCGGAGACAGGUGGUGCAUGGUUGUCGUCAGCUCGUGUCGUGAGAUGUUGGGUUANNNNNNGCAACGAGCGCAACCCUUAUUGUUAGUUGCCAUCAUUAAGUUGGGCACUCUAGCGAGACUGCCGGUAAUAAACCGGAGGAAGGUGGGGAUGACGUCAAAUCAUCAUGCCCCUUAUGACCUGGGCUACACACGUGCUACAAUGGUCGGUACAACGAGUUGCGAGCCGGUGACGGCAAGCUAAUCUCUGAAAGCCGAUCUCAGUUCGGAUUGGAGGCUGCAACUCGCCUCCAUGAAGUCGGAGUCGCUAGUAAUCGCGGAUCAGCACGCCGCGGUGAAUACGUUCCCGGGCCU